RNAcentral lists this ribosomal RNA (437 nucleotides) under uncultured bacterium. Its description in RNAcentral is "bacterial SSU rRNA". It matches the Rfam family "Bacterial small subunit ribosomal RNA", at positions 1 to 407 of the family's 1533-position model. The record is from RNAcentral.
AAGGGAAGAAAGGAAAGGUUGAGUGGUCAGAGAUUGAACUUAACAAUGGAGAGUUUGAUCCUGGCUCAGGAUGAACGCUAGCGGCAGGCCUAAUACAUGCAAGUCGAGCGCCCAGCAAUGGGAGCGGCGGACGGGUGCGUAACACGUAUGCAACCUACCCAUGACAGGGGGAUACCCCGUGGAAACGCGGAUCAAUACCCUAUAGUAUUGUUGAUCGGCAUCGAUUGAUAAUUAAAGUUUUGAUACGGUCAUGGAUGGGCAUGCGUCCGAUUAGCUAGUUGGUAGGGUAAUGGCCUACCAAGGCGACGAUCGGUAACUGGUCUGAGAGGAUGAUCAGUCACACUGGCACUGAGACACGGGCCAGACUCCUACGGGAGGCAGCAGUAGGGAAUAUUGGGCAAUGGGGGCAACCCUGACCCAGCCAUGCCGCGUGAAGG